GAGUUCCUGUUCUAUUUUGCCAGUAACACUGCUGUGACUUGCUAAUGGCAUAGUGGAUUCACAAAGGAACCACAAUCUUGAACGUGACUUCAUGGCCAAAUUCAGAAUAAAAGAGGUAUGGGAGGCAUUAGAAGACACUGAAACCGUGAUCCUGCUGGAGAAAGGGGAAACAGCUGAGUAUGCUAAAAGUAGGAGCUAAGGUGAGGGGAGCAUGCUUGUGUAUUUGUG
RNAcentral lists this long non-coding RNA (228 nucleotides) under Anas platyrhynchos platyrhynchos (common mallard). RNAcentral describes it as "lncRNA (ENSAPLG00000028027.1)". Lineage: Eukaryota; Metazoa; Chordata; Aves; Anseriformes; Anatidae. The record is from RNAcentral.